This 564-nucleotide ribosomal RNA is filed under the name Pseudomonas aeruginosa. RNAcentral describes it as "partial 23S ribosomal RNA". It matches the Rfam family "Bacterial large subunit ribosomal RNA", at positions 2367 to 2925 of the family's 2925-position model. The record is from RNAcentral. Lineage: Bacteria; Pseudomonadati; Pseudomonadota; Gammaproteobacteria; Pseudomonadales; Pseudomonadaceae.
GCUUGACUGCGAGACAGACACGUCGAGCAGGUACGAAAGUAGGUCUUAGUGAUCCGGUGGUUCUGUAUGGAAGGGCCAUCGCUCAACGGAUAAAAGGUACUCCGGGGAUAACAGGCUGAUACCGCCCAAGAGUUCAUAUCGACGGCGGUGUUUGGCACCUCGAUGUCGGCUCAUCACAUCCUGGGGCUGAAGCCGGUCCCAAGGGUAUGGCUGUUCGCCAUUUAAAGUGGUACGCGAGCUGGGUUUAGAACGUCGUGAGACAGUUCGGUCCCUAUCUGCCGUGGACGUUUGAGAUUUGAGAGGGGCUGCUCCUAGUACGAGAGGACCGGAGUGGACGAACCUCUGGUGUUCCGGUUGUCACGCCAGUGGCAUUGCCGGGUAGCUAUGUUCGGAAAAGAUAACCGCUGAAAGCAUCUAAGCGGGAAACUUGCCUCAAGAUGAGAUCUCACUGGGAACUUGAUUCCCCUGAAGGGCCGUCGAAGACUACGACGUUGAUAGGCUGGGUGUGUAAGCGUUGUGAGGCGUUGAGCUAACCAGUACUAAUUGCCCGUGAGGCUUGACCAU